This 2070-nucleotide long non-coding RNA is filed under the name Homo sapiens (human). RNAcentral describes it as "HSALNT0236958". Lineage: Eukaryota; Metazoa; Chordata; Mammalia; Primates; Hominidae. The record is from RNAcentral.
CUGAGGUCCUUUUGCCUGUGGUGGUAGCCUCGUUUUUUGUUUUUUUGUUUUUUUGUUUUUUUUUUUUUUGCUGUUUGCAGGUAAGUCUUGCAGCUGCUCGCUGUUUGGGUCUACACAGUCUUAAUGAGCUGUAAUACGUGAAGGUCUGCAGCUUCACUCACCAGGAGCAAUGAACAACUCCAGACGCGCCUCCUUAAGAGCUGCAAUACACCGCGAGGGUGUGCAGCCUCACUCCUGAACCAGUGAGACCACGAACCCACCAGAAGGGAAAAACUCUGAACACAUCUGAACAUGAGAAGGAACAAACUCCGGAUACGUUGCCUUUAAGAAGUGUAACACUCACCCCGAGGGUCUGUGGCUUCAUUCUUGAAGUCAGACCAAGAACUCACCAAUUUGGGACACAGCUUACCUCCCUUCCUCCUGAGUGUGGGGUGGCCUUAGUGAUUCACUGAUACUAGAACGUGUCAGAAGCGAAGGUGUGCAACUUCCAAGACUAGGUCGUAAAAGGCCUUGUGUCUUCCUCCUUGCUCUGUUCCUGGGUUCUUUUAAUCUGGAAAGCCAACUGCCAUGCCCUCAUAUAAGGGCACUUAAGCGGCCUUGGGGAGAAGACCACAUGGUGAAGAACUGAGACGUCUUGUCAACAGCCAGAAAGAAGAGGAAGUAGUCGUUGGUGUGUGCCUCGGCCCAGCUGCCUGCCAUCUGGACUCAGACCCACAGACCCCUGGUCUUCCACCAUAAUCCUGCCCUUCCCCUCACCUCCCUCCUCAUAGCCAUGUCGGAAGAAGGAGCCAAGGGCCAAGGGGCCUACCAGUCCCCAACGGGUGGUCCUUCAUGUUUCUGCAUCUAACCAAGGAGCUGUCAUCUUCCUGAGAGCCCAGCGGUGUCCAUUCAGUGCACAACAGCUGGCUGGGUCUGAGUUCUGAGCUCUGCCCCUCGUUCUGUCUGUCCCUGGAUGAGUCACUUGAUUUUCUAACUGGACCUGUUUGCUCAUCUGCAAAAUGAAGAGGUAAAACAAGCUGGCCUCUAACCUUCUGUGCACUUAAAACAUUCCAUGCCGCUAUGACCAUGACCAGCUUUGACUGGAGAAAGUGUCCGUUAGCAUUAAAGAGAGGAGCAUCACACGAUGUCAUCCACAACGUCCCUGCAGAGCACACAGUGAUGAACAUGUUGGAGAGUUCCAGCAUUCCUCAAUGAAAUCCAGAGAUAUAACACCCUCGAACUCAAUUCAGAAUGGUUUUUCAGGAGGCCAAAGCCAUCUGGAUCUUAUUUGUGGUAGUUUUGAAGGUCCACAGUGAUCUAAAGAGAAAAGCUACAUUCUCUAGAGCAGUGCUUUCCAAAGAACACCAGAAUCUCGUGCGUGGUUGUGCUUCACAAACCUGCUGCCAAAUAGGCUUGGGGAAAGCUGGGUUUCUUUACUGCAGGAUUUUUCAGAGCUGCUAAUAGGCUAAUGUGCCCUGAACUUUGAGCCGCUACUAGAGACAUUUUGCUUCAUCUUCUUAACUGCCUGUUUGGUUUUGCUAUUUUGCUAAUUCCGUUUUAGAGAUGAGAAAAGGGGGCUCAGAGAGAUUAAGUAACAGCCCAGAGUCCUAGAGCUUGGAAGUGAAGGGGCUGGGAUUUGAACUCAGGUCUAGUCUGAGUCUAUGGCCCUGUUUCUAACGCUGCUGUAUUUUCAUUCUAUGUGAGUAAGCUCCAGGAAGUUUCCAGUCCUGAGAUGCUGCCUUAGUCUCAGCUAAAACAUCUCAGAGAAAAUGAAACAGAGGGUAGGUUUCUGGGGAAGCAGAGGGGGUGCUGCUGUGUUUGUGUAUUUAAAGCCUCAGGCAUAAGGACCUGUUCCCUGGGGACAAUUCAUGCUGGGGGGAUGAGGACUCACAGGUGUCUGCACUACUACUCACAACUCCAGUCUCUGGAAGAUUAAGUCAGGUGAAGAGUGCCAUGCUUUUACCAAAAAAAAAAAAAAAAAAUACACAAAGACUUCGUGGCGGUUCCAAGGUACUCAUUCUAGAGAAAUCCACUGUGGCACCCCAGAUUUGUACCACAUGACUCCCCUCCCCCACAUAACUGAUGGACAGG